CCUACGGGCGGCAGCAGUGAGGAAUAUUGGUCCAUGGGCUUACGCCUGAACCAGCCAAGUCGCGUGAGGGAAGACUGCCCUAUGGGUUGUAAACCUCUUUUGUCAGGGAGCAACGCCGGCUACGUGUAGCCGGACUGAGAGUACCUGAAGAAAAAGCAUCGGCUAACUCCGUGCCAGCAGCCGCGGUAAUACGGAGGAUGCGAGCGUUAUCCGGAUUUAUUGGGUUUAAAGGGUGCGUAGGCGGAAUGCCAAGUCAGCGGUAAAAUCCCGGGGCUCAACCUCGCUCCGCCGUUGAAACUGGCGUUCUGGAGUGGGCGAGAAGUAUGAGGAAUGCGUGGUGUAGCGGUGAAAUGCAUAGAUAUCACGCAGAACUCCGAUUGCGAAGGCAGCAUACCGGCGCCCAACUGACGCUGAAGCACGAAAGCGUGGGUAUCGAACAGGAUUAGAUACCCUGGUAGUC
RNAcentral lists this ribosomal RNA (460 nucleotides) under uncultured bacterium. RNAcentral's name for it is "partial 16S ribosomal RNA". It matches the Rfam family "Bacterial small subunit ribosomal RNA", at positions 338 to 795 of the family's 1533-position model. The record is from RNAcentral.